This 495-nucleotide ribosomal RNA is filed under the name uncultured bacterium. Its description in RNAcentral is "partial 16S ribosomal RNA". It matches the Rfam family "Bacterial small subunit ribosomal RNA", at positions 28 to 507 of the family's 1533-position model. The record is from RNAcentral.
GACGAACGCUGGCGGCGUGCCUAAUACAUGCAAGUAGAACGCUGAAGGAGGAGCUUGCUUCUCUGGAUGAGUUGCGAACGGGUGAGUAACGCGUAGGUAACCUGCCUGGUAGCGGGGGAUAACUAUUGGAAACGAUAGCUAAUACCGCAUAAUAGUAGAUGUUGCAUGACAUUUGCUUAAAAGGUGCAAUUGCAUCACUACCAGAUGGACCUGCGUUGUAUUAGCUAGUUGGUGAGGUAACGGCUCACCAAGGCAACGAUACAUAGCCGACCUGAGAGGGUGAUCGGCCACACUGGGACUGAGACACGGCCCAGACUCCUACGGGAGGCAGCAGUAGGGAAUCUUCGGCAAUGGACGGAAGUCUGACCGAGCAACGCCGCGUGAGUGAAGAAGGUUUUCGGAUUGUAAAGCUCUGUUGUAAGAGAAGAACGAGUGUGAGAGUGGAAAGUUCACACUGUGACGGUAUCUUACCAGAAAGGGACGGCUAACUACGUG